This 253-nucleotide ribosomal RNA is filed under the name uncultured bacterium. RNAcentral's name for it is "partial 16S ribosomal RNA". It matches the Rfam family "Bacterial small subunit ribosomal RNA", at positions 524 to 776 of the family's 1533-position model. The record is from RNAcentral.
UACGUAGGUGGCAAGCGUUGUCCGGAAUUAUUGGGCGUAAAGCGCGCGCAGGCGGUUCUUUAAGUCUGCUGUGAAAGCCCACGGCUCAACCGUGGAGGGUCAUUGGAAACUGGAGAACUUGAGUACAGAAGAGGAAAGCGGAAUUCCACGUGUAGCGGUGAAAUGCGUAGAGAUGUGGAGGAACACCAGUGGCGAAGGCGGCUUUCUGGUCUGUAACUGACGCUGAGGCGCGAAAGCGUGGGGAGCAAACAGG